This 223-nucleotide long non-coding RNA is filed under the name Malus domestica (apple). Its description in RNAcentral is "long non-coding RNA (MDOM_LNC017043)". The record is from RNAcentral. Lineage: Eukaryota; Viridiplantae; Streptophyta; Magnoliopsida; Rosales; Rosaceae.
CUGAUGGUCAGAUUUUACUUGAUCACCGGAGGUUUGUGGGUUUGUUCCAACAGCAUCUGCCUUCGUCUUCUAGGGCGGCGCCACGUAGUGAAGCUUCAACUGAUCAACCUCCGAUAUCUCUUCCUUCCGUGGCCCCACCGACUGCUGAGACUCCGCCGACUACUGCGACCUCUCCCAAGCAGCCUUUGUGAAGGCUCCCUCUUGUAUUAUGCUAUGUUUCUUU